GGUUAAGCGACUAAGCGUACACGGUGGAUGCCCUGGCAGUCAGAGGCGAUGAAGGACGUGCUAAUCUGCGAAAAGCGUCGGUAAGGUGAUAUGAACCGUUAUAACCGGCGAUGUCCGAAUGGGGAAACCCAGUGCUAUUCGUUGCACUAUCGUUAACUGAAUACAUAGGUUAACGAGGCGAACCGGGGGAACUGAAACAUCUAAGUACCCCGAGGAAAAGAAAUCAACCGAGAUUCCCCCAGUAGCGGCGAGCGAACGGGGAGCAGCCCAGAGUCUGAAUCAGCUUGUGUGUUAGUGGAACGGUCUGGAAAGUCCGACGGUACAGGGUGAUAGUCCCGUACACCAAAAUGCACAGGCUGUGAACUCGAAGAGUAGGGCGGGACACGUGGUAUCCUGUCUGAAUAUGGGGGGACCAUCCUCCAAGGCUAAAUACUCCUGACUGACCGAUAGUGAACCAGUACCGUGAGGGAAAGGCGAAAAGAACCCCGGCGAGGGGAGUGAAAAAGAACCUGAAACCGUGUACGUACAAGCAGUGGGAGCACCUUCGGGUGUGACUGCGUACCUUUUGUAUAAUGGGUCAGCGACUUAUAUUCUGUAGCAAGGUUAACCGUAUAGGGGAGCCGCAGGGAAACCGAGUCUUAACUGGGCGUUAAGUUGCAGGGUAUAGACCCGAAACCCGGUGAUCUAGCCAUGGGCAGGUUGAAGGUUGGGUAACACUAACUGGAGGACCGAACCGACUAAUGUUGAAAAAUUAGCGGAUGACUUGUGGCUGGGGGUGAAAGGCCAAUCAAACCGGGAGAUAGCUGGUUCUCCCCGAAAGCUAUUUAGGUAGCGCCUCGUGAAUUCAUCUUCGGGGGUAGAGCACUGUUUCGGCUAGGGGGUCAUCCCGACUUACCAACCCGAUGCAAACUACGAAUACCGAAGAAUGUUAUCACGGGAGACACACGGCGGGUGCUAACGUCCGUCGUGAAGAGGGAAACAACCCAGACCGCCAGCUAAGGUCCCAAAGUCAUGGUUAAGUGGGAAACGAUGUGGGAAGGCACAGACAGCCAGGAUGUUGGCUUAGAAGCAGCCAUCAUUUAAAGAAAGCGUAAUAGCUCACUGGUCGAGUCGGCCUGCGCGGAAGAUGUAACGGGGCUAAACCAUGCACCGAAGCUGCGGCAGCGACACUAUGUGUUGUUGGGUAGGGGAGCGUUCUGUAAGCCUGCGAAGGUGACCUGUGAGGGUUGCUGGAGGUAUCAGAAGUGCGAAUGCUGACAUAAGUAACGAUAAAGCGGGUGAAAAGCCCGCUCGCCGGAAGACCAAGGGUUCCUGUCCAACGUUAAUCGGGGCAGGGUGAGUCGACCCCUAAGGCGAGGCCGAAAGGCGUAGUCGAUGGGAAACAGGUUAAUAUUCCUGUACUUGGUGUUACUGCGAAGGGGGGACGGAGAAGGCUAUGUUAGCCGGGCGACGGUUGUCCCGGUUUAAGCAUGUAGGCUGAUUGUCCAGGCAAAUCCGGAUAAUCAAGGCUGAGGUGUGAUGACGAGGCACUACGGUGCUGAAGUAACAAAUGCCCUGCUUCCAGGAAAAGCCUCUAAGCAUCAGGUAACAUCAAAUCGUACCCCAAACCGACACAGGUGGUCAGGUAGAGAAUACCAAGGCGCUUGAGAGAACUCGGGUGAAGGAACUAGGCAAAAUGGUGCCGUAACUUCGGGAGAAGGCACGCUGGUGUGUAGGUGAAGUCCCUGCGGAUGGAGCUGAGACCAGUCGAAGAUACCAGCUGGCUGCAACUGUUUAUUAAAAACACAGCACUGUGCAAACACGAAAGUGGACGUAUACGGUGUGACGCCUGCCCGGUGCCGGAAGGUUAAUUGAUGGGGUUAUCCGUAAGGAGAAGCUCUUGAUCGAAGCCCCGGUAAACGGCGGCCGUAACUAUAACGGUCCUAAGGUAGCGAAAUUCCUUGUCGGGUAAGUUCCGACCUGCACGAAUGGCGUAAUGAUGGCCAGGCUGUCUCCACCCGAGACUCAGUGAAAUUGAACUCGCUGUGAAGAUGCAGUGUACCCGCGGCAAGACGGAAAGACCCCGUGAACCUUUACUAUAGCUUGACACUGAACAUUGAGCCUUGAUGUGUAGGAUAGGUGGGAGGCUUUGAAGCGUGGACGCCAGUCUGCGUGGAGCCAACCUUGAAAUACCACCCUUUAAUGUUUGAUGUUCUAACGUUGGCCCCUUAUCGGGGUUGCGGACAGUGUCUGGUGGGUAGUUUGACUGGGGCGGUCUCCUCCCAAAGCGUAACGGAGGAGCACGAAGGUUAGCUAAUCCUGGUCGGACAUCAGGAGGUUAGUGCAAUGGCAUAAGCUAGCUUGACUGCGAGCGUGACGGCGCGAGCAGGUGCGAAAGCAGGUCAUAGUGAUCCGGUGGUUCUGAAUGGAAGGGCCAUCGCUCAACGGAUAAAAGGUACUCCGGGGAUAACAGGCUGAUACCGCCCAAGAGUUCAUAUCGACGGCGGUGUUUGGCACCUCGAUGUCGGCUCAUCACAUCCUGGGGCUGAAGUAGGUCCCAAGGGUAUGGCUGUUCGCCAUUUAAAGUGGUACGCGAGCUGGGUUUAGAACGUCGUGAGACAGUUCGGUCCCUAUCUGCCGUGGGCGCUGGAGAAUUGAGGGGGGCUGCUCCUAGUACGAGAGGACCGGAGUGGACGCAUCACUGGUGUUCGGGUUGUCAUGCCAAUGGCACUGCCCGGUAGCUAAAUGCGGAAGAGAUAAGUGCUGAAAGCAUCUAAGCACGAAACUUGCCCCGAGAUGAGUUCUCCCUGAGACUUUAAGUCUCCUGAAGGAACGUUAAAGACGAUGACGUUGAUAGGCCGGGUGUGUAAGCGCAGCGAUGCGUUGAGCUAACCGGUACUAAUGAACCGUGAGGCUUAACCUU
This 2902-nucleotide ribosomal RNA is filed under the name Klebsiella pneumoniae. Its description in RNAcentral is "23S ribosomal RNA". It matches the Rfam family "Bacterial large subunit ribosomal RNA". Lineage: Bacteria; Pseudomonadati; Pseudomonadota; Gammaproteobacteria; Enterobacterales; Enterobacteriaceae. The record is from RNAcentral.